RNAcentral lists this ribosomal RNA (494 nucleotides) under uncultured bacterium. RNAcentral describes it as "partial 16S ribosomal RNA". It matches the Rfam family "Bacterial small subunit ribosomal RNA", at positions 28 to 504 of the family's 1533-position model. The record is from RNAcentral.
GAUGAACGCUGGCGGCGUGCCUAAUACAUGCAAGUCGAGCGAACAGACGAGGAGCUUGCUCCUUCGACGUUAGCGGCGGACGGGUGAGUAACACGUAGGUAACCUACCUAUAAGACUGGGAUAACUUCGGGAAACCGGAGCUAAUACCGGAUAAUAUUUCGAACCGCAUGGUUCGAUAGUGAAAGAUGGCUUUGCUAUCACUUAUAGAUGGACCUGCGCCGUAUUAGCUAGUUGGUAAGGUAACGGCUUACCAAGGCAACGAUACGUAGCCGACCUGAGAGGGUGAUCGGCCACACUGGAACUGAGACACGGUCCAGACUCCUACGGGAGGCAGCAGUAGGGAAUCUUCCGCAAUGGGCGAAAGCCUGACGGAGCAACGCCGCGUGAGUGAUGAAGGUCUUCGGAUCGUAAAACUCUGUUAUUAGGGAAGAACAAACGUGUAAGUAACUGUGCACGUCUUGACGGUACCUAAUCAGAAAGCCACGGCUAACUAC